CGGGGCGUAGCGCAGUCUGGUAGCGCACUUGCAUGGGGUGCAAGGGGUCGCAGGUUCAAAUCCUGCCGUCCCGACCA
RNAcentral lists this transfer RNA (77 nucleotides) under Marinobacterium iners. RNAcentral describes it as "Marinobacterium georgiense tRNA-Pro". It matches the Rfam family "tRNA". From Rfam's summary of the family: Transfer RNA (tRNA) molecules are approximately 80 nucleotides in length. RNAcentral also lists the same sequence under 24 other names. The record is from RNAcentral. Lineage: Bacteria; Pseudomonadati; Pseudomonadota; Gammaproteobacteria; Oceanospirillales; Oceanospirillaceae.